Molecule: transfer RNA, 65 nt
Filed under: Eremias grammica (Reticulate racerunner)
Lineage: Eukaryota; Metazoa; Chordata; Lepidosauria; Squamata; Lacertidae
Description: tRNA-Ser
Source: RNAcentral
AAGAGGUCUGAGGAUUUUAUCUUCAGUUGUUCGAUUUAGCAGGUCUAUAGGUUCAUACACCUCUU